CCUUAAUAGCGUGAAUAUCACUUCCUCUCCUUGCAGACCUACGUGCUGGUUACCAGAGGGAUGAGGGAGCUAGGUCUCUGUCCUCAGGAAGCCCUCAGCCCAAGGAGAUGCAGCAACUGAACACAAACGGGCGAACCUCAGAUGUCCUUGGCUAGCUUCAACUUGGACGUUGCACGGUGGACUCCCUCUGGAGCAAAGAGCUAGAUGCUAAUGAAGUCACCACCAGGCUCCCCGGAGCCUUCUGGAGGCAGCAGUCAAGACUGACAGUCUCCUCCAUCAGGCAGCCUGGAGUCACAGGCUCCCAAGGGCUCUUGAGUCUUGUGACUCAGGGCAGGAGAUGAACACUCCCUGAUUUGUUUCUUUCUCUUCUUAUCCAUGAAUCUGCAACUGUACACCCCACCCCCCGCACCCCCCACAUCACAUGCAAUCAAUCAGUGUGCAUGGUGCCUGUCAGACUGAGCCUCCUGUUCUGUGUCCAGACAAGGGCCCCAGCAACAUCUGCACUCUGACCUGAGGAAGGUUCAUCCCAGGCCACAGGUUCUCACUCUGGUCACAGGUAAAUGGCACCAAGCCUGAGGUCACAGUGAUCUUUUUGACUCUGGUUCAGUGUUAUGCAAAAUCCAGAUGUGAUUGGCCCCUCCCCAAGCUACCAUGAGAGACAUGUGGCUAGUGUCUGCUGGAUGCUGGUCCCUGUUCAUAGCUUGCCCUGCCUUGAAAGGAAUCUACUUCCAACCUGGGGUUGCCAAGGCAGCCAUCUCUUCCCAGCGCUGGUUCCAAAUCUGUCUUACCUUCACUGCAAUGUAGUGGUACCAAAAAGUGACAAGGUCACACAAGUAUUAGGUUGCAGGCUUUGCUCAUUGCUCCUCCCACUCAAGAAAAGAACAUAUUUCAAAGAAACUAGAACACAUACCCUUUCAGCUCCUGAUGUAUCUCUCUCCCUCUCUUUGGUUGCUCUAUCAUUUGUCUGUGUAUCAUCUGUCUACUAUCUGUCUGUCCAUCUAUCUAUCUAUCUAUCUACUGUCUAUCUACCUAUCAUGUAUUGAUCAUCUAUUUGUCAUCAACCUAUCAUCUGUCUAUCAUUUAUCUAUCAUGUAUUGAUCAUCUAUUUCUGUUAUCACCUUUCAUCUGUCUAUCAUUUAUUUAUCAUGUAUUGAUCAUCUAGCUGUCAUCUAUUGAUCAUUUAUAUUAUCUGUCAUCUACUGAUAAUCAUUUCUAUCAUUUAUGUAUCAUCUAUCAUUUAUCUAAUAUCUACCUGUCUUCUAUCAUCCAUACCACCAACUUUUAAUCAGUUUUUUAUCAUUCAUCUAUGAUAUCAUCUACGUAUUUAUGUACAUAUGUAUGAAUAUAUGUGUCUAUCAAUCUAUCAUCAACCAAUCAUCCAUAUCUAUAUCAAUAUGUCUAUCCUUCAGUCAUCUAUCAAUCAACCUAUCAAUCAUCUAUCUAUCAUCAAUAUGUCCUCUUAUCUGUCUACCUAUCUGCUCUUUGGGUUGUUACCUGAGUCUAAUUCUGAAAAGAAAGCAACAAACAAGAAGUCUGACUUGGGAUCACAGAAUUUUCAACGCUCAGGUAAAAUUACAUAAGGUCAUCAAUAUGCAAAUUACUUUUGUCUUUCAUGAAUAAUAAAAUCAUAGGUAUAGAAAGGAUUUUAAAAAAAAAUCUUAAGGUAAUUUUUUUUUUAAUUUGUAUUUGUUAUUUUAAAUUAUGUGUGUGUGUGUGCUCAGAGGCCAGAGGUAUUGGAUCCCCUUGGAGCUGCAGUUGCUGGAGGUGGUGAAUCAUUUGAUAAGGAUGCCGGGGACUGAACUCAGGUCCUCUGGAAGAGCAGUAUGUGUUUUCAACUGCUGAGUCAUCUUUAAAGUCCCCAGAUACAUUUAUUUAUGAGUUGUCAUCACAAACAUUUGAUUUAUGUAUCUAUUUUAUACACCUAUAUACCAGAGGUCAUGUUAAAAAACAAUCUUGGGUAAAAUGGGUGGCAAGGGAAAGUUCAAGGUUUAAGGGGCCUUGUCCCAGGGAAGCCCCUGUGUAGAAGUAGGCUUCACUUCUGUUUUAAGACAUUUUUUGCCA
Molecule: long non-coding RNA, 2061 nt
Organism: Mus musculus (house mouse)
Lineage: Eukaryota; Metazoa; Chordata; Mammalia; Rodentia; Muridae
Product: predicted gene, 52538
Exons: 3
Source: RefSeq, a predicted model, not a curated record